Molecule: ribosomal RNA, 301 nt
Filed under: uncultured bacterium
Lineage: Bacteria
Description: partial 16S ribosomal RNA
Rfam family: Bacterial small subunit ribosomal RNA
Source: RNAcentral
CAGUAGCCGCGGUAAUACGUAGGUGGCAAGCGUUGUCCGGAAUUAUUGGGCGUAAAGGGCUCGCAGGCGGUUUCUUAAGUCUGAUGUGAAAGCCCCCGGCUCAACCGGGGAGGGUCAUUGGAAACUGGGAAACUUGAGUGCAGAAGAGGAGAGUGGAAUUCCACGUGUAGCGGUGAAAUGCGUAGAGAUGUGGAGGAACACCAGUGGCCAAGGCGACUCUCUGGUCUGUAACUGACGCUGAGGAGCGAAAGCGUGGGGAGCGAACAGGAUUAGAUACCCCCGUAGUCCCUGUCUCUUAUAC